GGGCCGUUGGCGCAGUGGUAGCGCAUCCACGUCUUGUUCUGGUAGGUGAUUCUCGGAUUCUCUACCAGAAGUGUGCUGGGGAAGGCUGUGGGUUCGGCUCUCACACGGUCUG
Lasiosphaeris hirsuta is the source of this 112-nucleotide non-coding RNA. The record is from the annotation of a GenBank genome assembly. NCBI's taxonomy places the organism in Eukaryota, Fungi, Ascomycota, Sordariomycetes, Sordariales, Lasiosphaeriaceae.